AUUGAACGCUGGCGGCAGGCCUAACACAUGCAAGUCGAGCGGAUGAAGGGAGCUUGCUCCUGGAUUCAGCGGCGGACGGGUGAGUAAUGCCUAGGAAUCUGCCUGGUAGUGGGGGAUAACGUCCGGAAACGGGCGCUAAUACCGCAUACGUCCUGAGGGAGAAAGUGGGGGAUCUUCGGACCUCACGCUAUCAGAUGAGCCUAGGUCGGAUUAGCUAGUUGGUGGGGUAAAGGCCUACCAAGGCGACGAUCCGUAACUGGUCUGAGAGGAUGAUCAGUCACACUGGAACUGAGAAACGGUCCAGACUCCUACGGGAGGAAGCAGUGGGGAAUAUUGGGCAAAGGACGAAAGCCUGAUCCAGCCAUGCCGCGUGUGUGAAGAAGGUCUUCGGAUUGUAAAGCACUUUAAGUUGGGAGGAAGGGCAGUAAGUUAAUACCUUACUGUUUUGACGUUACCAACAGAAUAAGCACCGGCUAACUUCGUG
This 484-nucleotide ribosomal RNA is filed under the name uncultured bacterium. RNAcentral describes it as "partial 16S ribosomal RNA". It matches the Rfam family "Bacterial small subunit ribosomal RNA", at positions 30 to 507 of the family's 1533-position model. The record is from RNAcentral.